GCGUGAAUGGGGUAGUGGUAACCUUGGUCGUUGCCAAUAAUCGACUAGCCAGGGGUUCAAUUCCCCUUUCACGCA
RNAcentral lists this transfer RNA (75 nucleotides) under Rhizoctonia solani. RNAcentral's name for it is "tRNA-Gly". It matches the Rfam family "tRNA". Rfam says of the family: Transfer RNA (tRNA) molecules are approximately 80 nucleotides in length. Their secondary structure includes four short double-helical elements and three loops (D, anti-codon, and T loops). The record is from RNAcentral. Lineage: Eukaryota; Fungi; Basidiomycota; Agaricomycetes; Cantharellales; Ceratobasidiaceae.